AACGAACGCUGGCGGCAUGCCUAACACAUGCAAGUCGAACGAAAACUUCCGCUCUAGUGGCACACGGGUGCGUAACGCGUGGGAACCUGCCCUUAAACUCGGACUAAACCCCCGGAAAAGGUCCUAAUACCGGGUAAUGUCUUCGGACCAAGGUUGUGUCGCCUUUGGAUGGGCGCGCGUUGGCUUCGCUAGGUGGUAGAGUAGAAGCCUACCAAGGCGACGAUCCAUAGCUGGUCUGAGAGGGGGAUCAGCCACACUGGGACUGAGACGCGGCCCAGCCCCCGAGGGGAGGCAGCAGAGGGGAAUAUUGGACAAGGGGCGAAAGCCCAAUCCAGCAAUGCGGCGUGUGUGAGGAAGGGCUUAGGGUUGUAAAGCUCUUUGACCCGGGAUGAGAAUGACAGUACCGGGAGAAGAAGCACCGGCUAACUCCGUG
RNAcentral lists this ribosomal RNA (433 nucleotides) under uncultured bacterium. Its description in RNAcentral is "partial 16S ribosomal RNA". It matches the Rfam family "Bacterial small subunit ribosomal RNA", at positions 29 to 507 of the family's 1533-position model. The record is from RNAcentral.